UUGCAAGCCUUGCAGCAUGUGAGUCCCAUGAUGCAGAGCCUUCCUGCAGGCUAGCGAGAGUGUCCCAAGGUGGUCUGAGGCCUUGCUCUGUCACCUCUUUGCAGCAUGGAGCAUGGUGAGAGAUAGUUCAGACAAUC
This 137-nucleotide small nucleolar RNA is filed under the name Cavia porcellus (domestic guinea pig). RNAcentral's name for it is "Small nucleolar RNA SNORA9 (ENSCPOG00000028689.2)". The record is from RNAcentral. Lineage: Eukaryota; Metazoa; Chordata; Mammalia; Rodentia; Caviidae.